GAUGAAGAACGCAGUGAAAUGCGAUAAGUAAUGUGAAUUGCAGAAUUCAGUGAAUCAUCGAAUCUUUGAACGCACAUUGCGCCCCUUGGUAUUCCGAGGGGCAUGCCUGUUCGAGCGUCAUUAUAACCCCUCAAGCUCAGCUUGGUGUUGGGGCCUGCUGCACUGGCAGCCCUUAAAAUCAGUGGCGGCGCCAUCUGGCUCUAAGCGUAGUAAUUCUUCUCGCUAUGGAGUCCUGGUGGAUGCUUGCCAUCAACCCCCAAUUUUUCUAUGGUUGACCUCGGAUCAGGUAGGGAUACCCGCUGAACUUAAGCAUAUCAAUAAGCGGAA
RNAcentral lists this unclassified non-coding RNA (327 nucleotides) under soil metagenome. RNAcentral's name for it is "partial contains 5.8S ribosomal RNA, internal transcribed spacer 2, and large subunit ribosomal RNA". The stretch from base 1 to 120 matches the Rfam family "5.8S ribosomal RNA", at positions 35 to 154 of the family's 154-position model. The record is from RNAcentral.